AUGACUGCAGAAAUGCGUAUACCAUUACAUGACUUACGUAAGAUUACAACUCAAUUCUCAGUGGACUCAAGGAUAGGAAAGGGUGGGUAUGGAGACGUUUACAAGGGAGUGUACAAAGGAAGAGAUGUUGCUGUGAAGUUGCUUCAUGUUGAUACGGUGCAAGGAAUAGAUGACCUACAAUAUCUCAGUGAAGUUGAUAUCCUUUCGAGGAUUAAGCACCCAAAUAUCAUACAGUUCCUUGGUUAUAGUUAUGAAACAACUUCUGAAUUCGUUGAGCACAAGGGUAAGAAAGAUUUUAGUAAACACAUAUAUAGAGUCCUCUGCUUUGAGUACUUGCAGGGUGGAAGCCUAGACAAGCGUCUUCCUGAAAAAUCUUUUGCACCUGAUUGGAGCAAACGAUAUGUGAUUAUAAAGGGCAUUUGUGAAGGAUUAGAUUUCCUUCACGGGUGUAAACCACCAAUUUUUCAUCUUGAUCUGAAGCCUGCCAAUAUAUUACUAGACAGUGAAAUGGUGCCUAAAGUGGCAGAUUUUGGAUUGUCAAGGUUCUUCAGCGGAGCACGCACUCAUGUCACAAAACAAAUCAGAGGAACCCAGACGUACAUGCCACCAGAAUUCAUAAACGAUGGUGAAAUCUCAAAUAAGAAUGACGUCUUUAGUUUCGGUGUUGUGAUGAUAGAGAUAAUGACAGGACCAACAGGUUACUCCAAUUCUACCGGAGUGCCUGACGUGGCACAAUUAACUCAGGAGGUACUUACCAGAUGGAGUACAACGAUUGAAUUGACAUCAAAGUACAUAUCAGAGGAAUUACAUCAGGUGAAGACAUGCAUCGGAUUAGCAAUGCAUUGUGUGGAUUCUGAAAGAAACAAUAGACCCACUGUAGCAGAUAUCCUAGAUGCCCUGAAUAAGACAGAAACUCAUAUUCCCAAGAAACAGUUGACAGACGUUCUCCCAUGUCCGAUGGUUGGUUCCAAUAAUACAAUGUCUAAUACGUUGAAGGAGAUGGCAGCUGAACUGGACAAUAUAACAAAUCAAAACCGGCAUUCCAUUUGUAUGCCAGACAAUAGCUCUAGUGUAAAACAAGUUCCUGACAUACGAGAAACAAUUUCGGAUGUGGAGGAAGGACUGAUCAUUGGCAGGACUGAAGAAAUAUUGGAAAUAGUGGCUACUUUAUGUGGGAGCAUCACACUAGAUAACAAGGUCACCAUCCUUCCAAUAUAUGGCAUUGGAGGAGUUGGCAAGACAACCCUAGCUCAGUUAGUUUUCAAUGAUUCUCAAUUCGCAGGCUACUCUCGGGCAUGGAUCUAUGUGUCCCAAAAUCUCGAUUUGAAUAAAAUUGGCAAUUCUAUUAUAUCACAGCUAUCAGAGGAGAGCCAUAUAACUAACAAGCAGAUGAUAUAUAAGAAGCUGAGCGGGUUAUUUGCUGGUAAGAAGAUUCUUAUUGUCUUAGAUGACGUGUGGGAGACAAAUCCACGUAGUCUAAAGGAUUUGAAGUCCAUGCUAAGACCUGCUGUGGGUAGCAUGCUGACAGUUAUCGUAACCACAAGAGAUGAAGCCAUUGCAAGGGAAAUUUGCCAUACAGUUGGGCCAUACAAGCUAGAGACGUUAACAAAUAAUAGUUGCUGGAAAAUAAUAAAGCAGAAAACUGCCUUUAAAGACCGAGGCGACAAAAAACAGUUGAAGCAUAUAGGAAAGGAGAUUGCAAACAAGUGUGGAGGUGUGGCUUUGGCGGCUCAAUCACUGGGAUACACACUGAAGGGGAAGAUGUCUGAUGAAUGGGAAUCAGUGAGAGACAAUUAUAUAUGGAAUCUAUCUAGUUCGGAGGACCCAUCAUCAACAGACCAUGAAGUGCUUGCAUCCUUGCUGCUAAGCUAUAGCCGUAUGCCUGAUUGGUUGAAGUUAUGCUUUUCCUAUUGUGCAGUCUUUCCAAAAGGUCACAGUAUAGUGAAGUAUGAUCUAAUUUACCAAUGGAUUGCACUUGGAUUCACAGAGCAAUCUGAUGUAUUUGAUUCUAUGCAGCUCUGCGAGAAAUAUGUUGCACAACUCUUGGGGAUGUCCUUCCUUCAAUAUUCAAAGACACAACCUUCGGUGAUUAUUACAUUGCUAUGCUACUAUUCUUUUCAAACUUAUAAAUUCCCACUCAGGUGUGUACAUAUAUAUUCAAGAUGA
This 2166-nucleotide ribosomal RNA is filed under the name Triticum aestivum (bread wheat). RNAcentral's name for it is "partial small subunit ribosomal RNA". Lineage: Eukaryota; Viridiplantae; Streptophyta; Magnoliopsida; Poales; Poaceae. The record is from RNAcentral.